GUAGGUGAACCUGCGGAAGGAUCAUUAUUGAAAUUACCGGCGAGGGUUGUAGCUGGCCUUUCGGGGCAUGUGCACGCCCGAGCCUUUAAUCCAACAUACACCUGUGAACCCAAUGUAAGGGCCCGUAAAAAGGCCCCUACGUCUUUAUCACCAACUCUGUAUUCAUAGAAUGUAAUCCAUAUCUUCGCCUUAACAAGCGUUGGUAAAACUUAUACAACUUUCAACAACGGAUCUCUUGGCUCUC
RNAcentral lists this unclassified non-coding RNA (244 nucleotides) under rhizosphere metagenome. RNAcentral's name for it is "partial ribosomal RNA internal transcribed spacer region". The record is from RNAcentral.